RNAcentral lists this ribosomal RNA (481 nucleotides) under uncultured bacterium. RNAcentral's name for it is "partial 16S ribosomal RNA". It matches the Rfam family "Bacterial small subunit ribosomal RNA", at positions 28 to 507 of the family's 1533-position model. The record is from RNAcentral.
GAUGAACGCUGGCGGCGUGCUUAACACGUGCAAGUCGAACGAAGCACUUUAUUUGAUUUCCUUCGGGACUGAUUAUUUUGUGACUGAGUGGCGGACGGGUGAGUAACGCGUGGGUAACCUGCCUUGUACAGGGGGAUAACAGUUGGAAACGGCUGCUAAUACCGCAUAAGCGCACAGCAUCGCAUGAUGCAGUGUGAAAAACUCCGGUGGUAUAAGAUGGACCCGCGUGGGAUUAGCUAGUUGGUGAGGUAACGGCCCACCAAGGCGACGAUCCAUAGCCGACCUGCGAGGGUGCCCGGCCACAUUGGGACUGAGACACGGCCCAAACUCCUACGGGAGGCAGCAGUGGGGAAUAUUGCACAAUGGGCGAAAGCCUGAUGCAGCGACGCCGCGUGAGCGAAGAAGUAUUUCGGUAUGUAAAGCUCUAUCAGCAGGGAAGAUAAUGACGGUACCUGACUAAGAAGCACCGGCUAAAUACGUG